RNAcentral lists this ribosomal RNA (526 nucleotides) under Reticulitermes flavipes (eastern subterranean termite). Its description in RNAcentral is "partial 16S ribosomal RNA". It matches the Rfam family "Bacterial large subunit ribosomal RNA", at positions 1831 to 2600 of the family's 2925-position model. The record is from RNAcentral. Lineage: Eukaryota; Metazoa; Arthropoda; Insecta; Blattodea; Rhinotermitidae.
CUCUUCUCGUUAGUUUUUGAAGUAUGGCCUGCCCACUGACCUUGAAUGUUGAAGGGCCGCGGUAUUUUGACCGUGCAAAGGUAGCAUAGUCAUUAGUUCUUUAAUUGUGAUCUGGUAUGAAUGGCUUGACGAGGCAUGAGCUGUCUUAAUUUGAAUUGUUUAUUGAAUUUGGUCUUUGAGUUAAAAUUCUUAGAUGUUUUUAUGGGACGAGAAGACCCUAUAGAGUUUUACAUUUAUUAUGGUCUCUUUCUGUUUGUGAGGGUUCAUUAGGGCUGUUUAAUAUGUUUUGUUGGGGUGAUGGGAGGGAUAUUGUUUAACCCCUCCUUUAUGUUGUUAUAUUUAUUUAUAUUUGCUUGAUCCAUUUAUUUUGAUUGUAAGAUUAAAUUACCUUAGGGAUAACAGCGUUAUCUCCCUUGAGAGUUCUUAUCGGCAGGGGGGUUUGCGACCUCGAUGUUGGAUUAAGGUUUAUUUUCGGUGUAGGAGCUGGAAAGUUAUAUUGGGUCUGUUCGACCUUUAAAAUCUUACA